This 493-nucleotide small RNA is filed under the name Streptococcus pyogenes. The stretch from base 358 to 493 matches the Rfam family "Streptococcus sRNA sagA", at positions 1 to 138 of the family's 161-position model. The record is from RNAcentral. Lineage: Bacteria; Bacillati; Bacillota; Bacilli; Lactobacillales; Streptococcaceae.
GAUAAGAACUAGAUAGUUGUUGUGUUACAACAGUACAAUUGAGCUAGCCUUGUCCUUGUUGUGUUAACUUUAUUUUUAAAAUAAGGUUAAAAAUAAACGACUCGCGUUCUUAUCAGUUACUUAUUAGAUAAGGAGGUAAACCUUAUGUUAAAAUUUACUUCAAAUAUUUUAGCUACUAGUGUAGCUGAAACAACUCAAGUUGCUCCUGGAGGCUGCUGUUGCUGCUGUACUACUUGUUGCUUCUCGAUUGCUACUGGAAGUGGUAAUUCUCAAGGUGGUAGCGGAAGUUAUACGCCAGGUAAAUAAUCUAUUUAGCAUCUCUAUGUGAUAGUGAUAUUAAGGUAAUGAGUUUGCUAGCAACUAAGUUAUCUUUGGUAACUUCUGAUUAUAGAUGAAUGGCAUAGAGGUGUUAGAAAACAUGAGACAAAAGUAAUCUUCUUGAUGCUAACGUCUCAGGUAAUUAGCAGGUACUAGAUAGUACCUGCUAAUUACU